UUGACCUCGAAUCAGGUAUGACUACCCCGUGAAUU
RNAcentral lists this ribosomal RNA (35 nucleotides) under Beauveria bassiana. RNAcentral describes it as "partial 28S ribosomal RNA". The record is from RNAcentral. Lineage: Eukaryota; Fungi; Ascomycota; Sordariomycetes; Hypocreales; Cordycipitaceae.